Nelumbo nucifera (sacred lotus) is the source of this 2629-nucleotide RNA transcript. It is a transcript of the gene named protein FATTY ACID EXPORT 3, chloroplastic-like, with no coding region annotated. NCBI's taxonomy places the organism in Eukaryota, Viridiplantae, Streptophyta, Magnoliopsida, Proteales, Nelumbonaceae. The record is from RefSeq and is a predicted model, not a curated record.
UUUCUUUUAUUUAAUUACUUUUCUGGUGUUGCUCCUCGUUUUGUUGAGUUACUUGUGAGGGAGGACAUUCCGCAGCUUUAGCCUUAAUUUUGUAAAGGUUUUCCUUCCUUUACAGCCUUAUAGGUCGAAAAUUGCUUCAGGAACGUCGGAGAAUGCCGGGGUUGUAAUUAUUUGGUCAAGGGGCUGUCCCAAGUUUUGUGAAACUUCUGCUGGUAUCACUUGGAUCAUCGUCGAAGCCGGCGGGACCUCUGACGUUCUCCUCAACCUCGAGUAGUAACACUAAAUCACUAAUACAGUUUUCGGUUUUCAAUAUAUAUCAUAUUUUUUUGAAAAAUUGGAGAUGAAUAAAGGGUAAAAUAGUGGUUCAGUAAUCUAAUAGAUGUACUGUUAAGUCAUUUCGCUAAACAAAGGGAACGUCUCAGCAUUUGUCAAUUCCAGAGGGGAGGUUUAAGCAUUUAACCUUUUUUUUUUCUGUCUUUGGGUAAAAAGAAAAGUUGAGUGCAGUUUACUUGCCUGCCUGCCUGAACUAAGCAAAGAAAUAAAGAAGCAUUUUCAUAUCGACUCCGCCCCUCGUGAUUUUCGUCUGAGCAAAGCGCCAUGGCGGUAUCUCUGAAGUGCUUCGUUUCGUACACAAACCCUAACUCUACUACUGUCUCUACGAGGAGUGGUUCCAUGGCCUUUUCUACUCCUCUUUCUUCUGCCUCGUCGUUUUGUUCCGAACCUUCACCUUUUCGUCCUUACAAUUACAGGGUCGCGGUUGCCGGUCGCUGCAUCUCUCUCAAAGGGUUUGGAUCUCGUUUUGCUUUGCCCCAUCGCCCAAGGUCCAACAAUGGAUCGGUUACCUCAUUUGCUGCUUCGCAUGAAGACUCGAAGAAUUCAGAAAUUGAAGUUGAAGGGAAGAGUGAGUUUGACAUUAGAGCCAAGGAAUCCCAAGAAGCACUGAAACAGACAUUAGAAUCUUUCAAAGAACAAGCCGUAAAGAUGCAGAUCAUGUCUGAAGAAGCAUACAAGUUAUACUCUGAGAAGGCAAGGGUGGUUUUGAAGGAUACCUCAGCACAGCUAAGCAUCCAGGUGGAGAAAGCAAGACAUGAUCUGAGUAUAAUAGCAAGAGAAAUCAGUGAAGAAGGUAAAGAAUAUCUUUCUACAGUGGCAGACAAUUCUCCUGAGCCAGUGAAGGACAUUGUGGAAACCUUUGCUUCCUCAACUAAUGAUUUGAAGGAAGUUUCUAAGGUUCAAGACUUUUACCUUGGGAUUCCUUAUGGUGUCUUUCUUUCUGGUGGUGGUUUUCUUUCCUUCAUGAUAACUGGAAGCAUUUCUGCCAUUAGGUUUGGGGUUAUUCUUGGGGGUAUUCUUCUAGCAUUAAGUAUAUCAAGUCUGAGAUCAUGGAAAAGGGGGGAAUCGUUUGCUCUGGCUUUGAAAGGGCAAGCAGCUGUUGCAGGUAUAAUAUUUUUAAGGGACUUGCGCUUGCUUUCACAGAGGCCAUCAUUUUCAAGUUCCUUUAUGACACUCAUCAGUGGCACAAUGGUGGCUUUCUAUUUGUAUAGGAUUACAUUAAAUGGUGAUCAGAAGAAAGGACCAAUCUCGGGCUAUGGUUCAGAAAAUUAGUGCUGUUACACAAGUUUGCCAUGUGGCUUACGUUUCAUAUGAUGAUGGUUAUAAGAUGGGAGAAGCUGAUUUUCAUUGCCUCUGCUUCGUUCAUUCAGCAAUGCUAAGCAUAUGGGUUGGGCAGAUGUGUUUUUGAAGUUUGAACAGUGUGUUGAACACCAUGGACCUGCUCGUGGGACCAAUUGUAUUGUCAUUUUUUUUCUUUCAAACAAUGGGCCCCAUGUUAUGCACUGGAUUGAUGCUGCUCAAGUCACUCUGUUCAAAGACAGUAUCCAGAUUCUCAUCCAUAAGCUGGAUUUAUUGGUUGAGUUCAAGUGGAUCCACAAAAAAUGAAUCAUAUUAAGCUUCUAUCUGAUGACAUUCAACUUUUGAACCAAUGGAUCUACUUUUUAUUGGAUGUUAAAGAGUUCUAAUCUGACUGCACUAGUAGGGGCGCAAGUCGGUUACAUGAUUUGAGGAAUUUACAUUGCAUCAGGCGUGGGCAUUUGGGCUGGGCCCAUUCAAAUUUUAAUAAGUUUCAACCUGAGCCCGCCCAAGUCGCAUCCCCAGCUUACUUGAUUCUAGUUCUUUAUAGAUCUUUAUGAGAGCAUCUACUAGUAUUUGCAUGUUUUUUCUCCUUUUCCUAUGCUCCAGGUUGAGGAAGGUUUAAUUGAACCAAAAGGAAAAUGCCUGUUGGGGGAAAGGGCAGAUGAAUAAGAAGGAAGCAUAGAAUGAUAUGAAGAUGCCCACUUCUUUUGGGAAGGUAGAUACUGUCCAUCCCCACCUCCCACCCCUUCCAUAAUUCUGUCGAUAUGUUCAUAUAUCUCAGCUUUUGAUGUUAAAGACUUUGGAAAAUUACUCUUUUUAUUAUUUUCUUUUUGGGUGUUUUUGUUAAUUAAUGUGGAAAUUUUUGUUUUUUGAGAAACAAAAUCAUGCACAUUGGCGAAUGCAAACUUAGAACAAGGCUUUUUAACUACUAUAAGGAGAAUUAGCACUCCCUUAUAUAUUUAUCAGCUAUCCAAGGUAAGAGACGGUUUGCUUGUCA